AUUGAACGCUGGCGGCAUGCCUUACACAUGCAAGCCGAACGGCAGCGGGCCUUCGGGUGCCGGCGAGUGGCGAACGGGUGAGUAAUGCAUCGGAACGUGCCAUUGAGUGGGGGAUAACGUAGCGAAAGUUGCGCUAAUACCGCAUAUUCUGUGAGCAGGAAAGCAGGGGACCGCAAGGCCUUGCGCUCUUUGAGCGGCCGAUGUCAGAUUAGCUAGUUGGUGAGGUAAAGGCUUACCAAGGCGACGAUCUGUAGCGGGUCUGAGAGGAUGAUCCGCCACACUGGAACUGAGACACGGUCCAGACUCCUACGGGAGGCAGCAGUGGGGAAUUUUGGACAAUGGGGGCAACCCUGAUCCAGCCAUGUCGCGUGAGUGAAGAAGGCCUCGG
Molecule: ribosomal RNA, 388 nt
Filed under: uncultured bacterium
Lineage: Bacteria
Description: bacterial SSU rRNA
Rfam family: Bacterial small subunit ribosomal RNA
Source: RNAcentral